Molecule: long non-coding RNA, 708 nt
Organism: Mustela erminea (ermine)
Lineage: Eukaryota; Metazoa; Chordata; Mammalia; Carnivora; Mustelidae
Exons: 4
Source: RefSeq, a predicted model, not a curated record
GUUGAUGACUAGGUCAGUGUCCACCUUCACAUGGGAUAAGUGUAGCUUCUUGCCUAAACACCACAUAGGGAUAUUCCUGGAAGCCUGGUAAAGUUCUAGAGAGGAAAGCCAAGCAUGAUGGCCCACAGGCAGGCCUGUGAGGAGGCCCACGUAGAGAACAACUGAAGUCUUCUGCAACUUUCCAGAUAAAGGAGCGAGCCCCUUUAGAAGCAGCACUUGCGGCCCUAAUCAUGCCUUCUACUGAUAAAAGCACCUGUUAAAACCUGAUUGUACUCUCAUCAAAGACCCUGAAAUAGAACUAUCCAAUCAAGCUACUUUAAAAUUGCCAACCCACAGAAACCAUGAAAGGCCUCAUCCAAUUAAUUAAAGGCCUUCAGAGCAAAAACUGAGGACUUCUCAAGAAGAAUUUCUGCGUCAAGGCUGUAGUAUCAACUUCUGCCUGUUUCUAGCCUGUCGGUCUACAGAUUUCAAAUUCAUGGGCCCCUGCAAUUGUGUGAUGCUGAGUGGUCAGACUGGACACCAGCCUGUGAGCAGUAGUGACCUGUGUCAUAUUUAGGACAAGCCACUGAGGAGCCAGGAUGUUUUCUCCUUCUUUCCCUUCUAGACUGGAAGUAUCUUAGACACUAUCUGCCACUAAAAAUACCAUUGCCAUUAAAAAAAAAAAGAAAAAAAAAAAGAAAAAAAGAAAAAGACAGCCCAACAAGUAGU